Small nucleolar RNA from Microplitis demolitor, 92 nucleotides. NCBI's taxonomy places the organism in Eukaryota, Metazoa, Arthropoda, Insecta, Hymenoptera, Braconidae. The record is from RefSeq and is a predicted model, not a curated record.
UUGACAUGAUGUCUAGCCAUGCUAAUACUGAGAGAUCUUAUUAAUUUAAGGAUCUCGCUGAGUUGAAAUCACUUCACUAUUAACUGAUCAUU